GUGUUUGCUUAUGUAGUACAUAUACUAAAAUUGGAGUGAUGCAGAGAUUAGCAUAGCCUCUGAACAAGGAUGACAUGCAAGUUCAUGAAUUGCCCCAUAUUCUU
Molecule: small nuclear RNA, 104 nt
Organism: Mastomys coucha (southern multimammate mouse)
Lineage: Eukaryota; Metazoa; Chordata; Mammalia; Rodentia; Muridae
Source: RefSeq, a predicted model, not a curated record